This is a long non-coding RNA of Magnolia sinica, 1687 nucleotides long. RefSeq lists it as uncharacterized. Lineage: Eukaryota; Viridiplantae; Streptophyta; Magnoliopsida; Magnoliales; Magnoliaceae. The transcript has 4 exons. The record is from RefSeq and is a predicted model, not a curated record.
CAUCAAUGGACCAGAUUGUCAUUAGAAAUCUGAAAAUGUGUUCUAAUCGACAUGCAUUGGUUUCAUUUCCUUUUUCUGGAUUUGCAGUUUUUUAUGAUGGGCGUUUGAUUCUCAAGUUGAAUGUCUGAUAUCAGGUUUUUUCGUUGAUAAACCAUACUAAUUUUAAGUUAAAUAUGGUGGUCUUUUCAUCCUUUGGGCUCUUGGGAAUAAUGAGUUUUAUUUCUAAAUUCCUAUUCUUUACUUAGUAUUUCUGACUGAUGCAUGAGACUUGACAUUGGAAAUCCUAGAUGAUCAUAUUCCUUUCUAUCUCAUUACUGACGAGGUGAGAGAGCAUUGUCCUACUAGCUAGAUGCUUUUAGCCAUGGUCCAUGCAAAGCAGGACCAGAUUAGGUGGAUGGUCCCAAUCCAGGGUCUCCCUUCUACAUAUACAGAGGUGGAAUCAACUGCCAUUCAUAGGCAAUUUUACAGAGAGUGGCAGAUCCGUGUAGCAAAUGGAGAACCUCUUCCCUUGACUCAGUUACAAGUGCCUUUAUAAGGUAAUUGCUAUCAAAGAAGCAAUACUUGACAUUAGACAUGAGCUAGAAAAGUAUGCUACAUGAUAUGUUAAUUUGAAUCAAUUAACCAUUCCUCACUAGAAUUGUUCGGAAUUCCACAUCAACUUUUAUUUCACUUUUUGUUUGAUAUGACUUGGCUUCUAGCAUUGUCAGACCUGAUUUUACUUGCUUUUCCCUUUUUUGGUGCCUACUUUUCUUGCACAUGGUUGCAAGUUUCAUCAUUAUUGAAUAAGAAGCAAUUACAAGUUAACAAGAUAUCAUAAUCAUCAAAGAAUGCAUGAAAUGAUCCCAAUUUUCAGAAAUUUACUAAAAACCAAUCUUAUUUCAUUUUCAGCCAUAACUCCAUUCAGAAUUAUCACAACACAACAGCUCACAUCAUCCAGAUAAUUAUUCUACUUGACUGUCGUGGGCAUAACAUCAUUGAGGGGUAUUCAAUUCAUCAAUCAACAAAGCAGUUGCCUCGUGUUGAUGGGUUCAAGUUGUCUGCAAAAUUGAACAAUGGUGUUACAGCUACCGGCUUAGUUUUAACUGUGAUGCAAAUGUUGAGGAAGCAUAGGGUUGUUGGCAAGUUUGUUGAGUUUUAUGGUGGGGGCAUGGGUGAAUUAUCAUUGGCUGAUAGGGCUACUAUUGCUAAUAUGUCUCCUGAAUAUGGAGCAACCAUGGGUUUCUUUCCUGUAGAUCAUGUCACUCUACAAUAUCUCAAGCUAACAAGACGAAGUGACGAAACUGUAAGUAUUGUACUUGUGAAUGUUUUGACUGGGGAAUGGGGGGAUUAGAAAUUUGGUUGAUGAGGAAACCACCCUCUUAUAUACCAGGUGGCAAUGAUAGAAGCCUAUUUGAGAGCAAACAACAUGUUCGUUUAGGUCACUACAACGAUGUAUACAUCUUUCUUAACCAUUCAGUUUUAAUUGAGCAUUUGACUCUGAAAUGUAAUUGAUUUCUUUUUGUGGAUCCAGCCUAAAAAAGAGAGUAUAUUCAUCUUAUCUAGAGCUGGACCUUGCAGAUGUUGAACCCUGCAUCUCAGGUCCAAAGCAGUAUGUUCGUGUUAGUUUAAUCCAUGUGCUAUAUUCACUCAGUUGUUGAAUCAUUAUAUUCAAGUUGGAGAUAUUGCAGGAAAGGUAUUUUAUUUGGGU